CCAUAGCACAGGUCUUAUCUGCAGUAGCGGCAUACCUGUAUCGCACUUGUAGCCGUCAAAACUGACAGCAUGUGCGCCACACGAAAAUGUUUGCUCGGUUGCCCGAAAACACCAUACGCGCGCGGGCCAACGGGCAUCAUCUUUUUUUCUUCUCUAUUGUGACCCAGACCCACGUCUACAAAUACUGGCCUUCGCGACCACCAUGAAUUCUCAUUCACCGAGCAGCAGGAUAUACACAGCUCGAGCUCGUCACAAGAAGUGCAGCCGGACAAAGUAAUUUGCAGGCACCAUGGCGUCCUUCGCUAGAGCUGCCCGUUUCAUGGUGCUUCUUUUGUUCAUCGUCUCCGCUAUGAUCAUGAGCAGCCCUGUCUGCCAUGGAGGCCGAGUUGGACCAGGAGGUCCAUCACCAGGACUAAAACCUAGUGCUGCUGUGGGCUCAUCGACCGAUGUUUUCCCCCGUCCGAUAUGUCGCCGAAAGGGAUGCCCGGUCCUGCCGCCGAGUGGCGCACCUGCACCGCCUUCCCCCAACAAUUGAACCGAUCGUUGGACGUCUUGAUGCCUGCAUGCCCACUGCUUGUACAAUUAAAUCCACGAUCUUAUUAAACCGGUAGUACAAUAAUAUCUUCUCGUCUACUUCCAUUUCAUUUAGUAUUAGUACGCUGAAUAAAUCUUAAGUAUGGGUCUGUAGCCUGAUGUGAAUGUUUGUGUAACCGUGGAACUUCGGUUCAAAACUAAUAAAGAUGGACAGUGAGUUAGGACACUA
Long non-coding RNA from Lolium perenne, 763 nucleotides. RefSeq lists it as uncharacterized. The record is from RefSeq and is a predicted model, not a curated record. Lineage: Eukaryota; Viridiplantae; Streptophyta; Magnoliopsida; Poales; Poaceae.